This 253-nucleotide ribosomal RNA is filed under the name uncultured bacterium. RNAcentral describes it as "partial 16S ribosomal RNA". It matches the Rfam family "Bacterial small subunit ribosomal RNA", at positions 524 to 776 of the family's 1533-position model. The record is from RNAcentral.
GACGUAGGGGGCCAGCGUUGUUCGGAAUUACUGGGUGUAAAGGGUUCGUAGGCGGUGUGGCAAGUCGGGAGUGAAAUCUCUGGGCUCAACUCAGAGACUGCUUCCGAAACUGCUGUGCUGGAGUGUGGGAGAGGCGCGUGGAAUUGCAGGUGUAGCGGUGAAAUGCGUAGAUAUCUGCAGGAACACCCGUGGCGAAAGCGGCACGCUGGACCACUACUGACGCUGAGGAACGAAAGCUAGGGGAGCAAACGGG